AGAAAAGAAAACUGAAAAAGCAUUAAAAGAAACAUAAAUGAUCCCAACCACCCAAGCAGAUUGUUUAUUUCCAAAGCAUCUGAAAAGCAAAACCCUUUAGCAGCCUGUCAGAGUAUUAUCCCAUCAAUCCUAUCAAUCUGCUUCAAUAAUAUACUAGAAUGUGUUCUUUCAAAAACCAUUGCGCCUCUUUAGAAUCUUGAUACUCCUUCAUUUAAAAAGACCUAAAAAUUUCUCUUCCACCUAUUUCAUUCCCAUCUUCCAAAAUGGGGAACCAAUAUCAGAUGUGGCUUGUACGGUGUGGUUAUCGCCGAUCUACUUCAAUAGCAUCGAGUGCAUAGGUAGAAACAUUGGCCAUAAGAUAAGUUGUUUCAUUUAUUUUAAGACCCUCAGUAGCCAAAGUAUCCAGGCAUUCGCCUUCACCGAGACCUCAGUACUUGAAAUAAUUCUCCAGCACAUUCUAUCCUCCAAAAUGCCCUUGGUGGCCCAUAUGCUUCUCCAGGUAUAGGAAGUAAAGGCCCAACAUGCAACGUCCGCAAUCUUUGAAUUCGGGCAUCACGUGAUUGUUCCAUACACCACCAAGAUUCAAACUUACAAGACCUCUAGCAACGUAUUGACUCUUCCUGAUCAGUUCUUAUUAGCAACGGGAAAUGGUUAGAGAAUGAGUGAGAAAGAUGCUGUAACAUCCCGAAAUAGGGCCUAAACGGAGCAGUGGUUGCGAAACCAUAAAUUCGAGAUCAAGAAGAACAAAAUCUGGAGUUAGACCGGGGAAAGAAAAAGAUAGUGGACUAAAUCGAUAUAGUUGAUCGUAUUUUGUUUCGAGUUUUGUCAAGCUAACUCGGGGAUCGUGAAGUACGUCGGAGGUUCGGGCACACUAUCACGAGGAUUUUUUUGGUAUAGCUAGAUGUUUCAUUUUGAGUAUGGCAUCUAUAGCAUCGUAGCCAUUUUGUGUGUAUGAUCUUAUGAUAUGGCUAAUGAAUGGUAUGUAAAUGUUUGAUAAUGAUUAGCUGUUGGAAUGGCUAAUCAAAGACAUGUUUGGUGUUAUGUAUGCCUAAAUGCUAGUUAUUCCAUGGAAAUUAUGAAAAAGGUGAAAUUAGCACAAUCAGACAGUAGCAGUGAUGUGAAUUUGAAAAAUCACUAAAAAUAGUAGAAAUGGAAUUAAAUGAUGAAUAAGUUACGAAAUCAAA
Molecule: long non-coding RNA, 1184 nt
Organism: Gossypium arboreum
Lineage: Eukaryota; Viridiplantae; Streptophyta; Magnoliopsida; Malvales; Malvaceae
Exons: 4
Source: RefSeq, a predicted model, not a curated record